AGCAGUGGGGAAUAUUGGACAAUGGGCGAAAGCCUGAUCCAGCAAUGCCGCGUGUGUGAAGAAGGCCUUCGGGUUGUAAAGCACUUUCAGCAGGGAGGAUAAUGACGUUACCUGCAGAAGAAGCACCGGCUAACUUCGUGCCAGCAGCCGCGGUAAUACGAAGGGUGCAAGCGUUAAUCGGAAUUACUGGGCGUAAAGCGCGCGUAGGCGGUUUGUUAAGUCAGAUGUGAAAGCCCUGGGCUCAACCUGGGAAUUGCAUUUGAUACUGGCAGGCUAGAGUGUGGUAGAGGGAAGUGGAAUUCCAGGUGUAGCGGUGAAAUGCGUAGAUAUCUGGAGGAACAUCAGUGGCGAAGGCGACUUCCUGGACCAACACUGACGCUGAGGCGCGAAAGCGUGGGUAGCAAACAGGAUUAGAUACCCUGGUAGUCCACGCCGUAAACGAUGAGAACUAGAUGUUGGGAAGUUUAACUUCUUAGUGUCGCAGCUAACGCGUUAAG
This 497-nucleotide ribosomal RNA is filed under the name uncultured bacterium. Its description in RNAcentral is "bacterial SSU rRNA". It matches the Rfam family "Bacterial small subunit ribosomal RNA", at positions 350 to 864 of the family's 1533-position model. The record is from RNAcentral.